This 163-nucleotide unclassified non-coding RNA is filed under the name fungal sp. RNAcentral's name for it is "partial internal transcribed spacer region". The stretch from base 1 to 46 matches the Rfam family "Eukaryotic small subunit ribosomal RNA", at positions 1786 to 1831 of the family's 1831-position model. The record is from RNAcentral. Lineage: Eukaryota; Fungi.
AAGUCGUAACAAGGUUUCCGUAGGUGAACCUGCGGAAGGAUCACUAGCAAUUGGUGGGGGUGUGUGGCUUUGGCCAGCAUCCUAUACAUUUACGCGUGUAGAGUGUGGCAGAGUAAAACAUUGCAAACAUACAUAACUUUUAACAAUGGAUCUCUUGGCUCUU